UGGGGAAUAUUGGACAAUGGGGGAAACCCUGAUCCAGCGAUGCCGCGUGUGUGAAGAAGGCCUUCGGGUUGUAAAGCUCUUUCAGACGGAAAGAAACGGUUACGGCUAAUACCCGUGACUAAUGACGGUACCGUAAGAAGAAGCACCGGCUAACUACGUGCCAGCAGCCGCGGUAAUACGUAGGGUGCGAGCGUUAAUCGGAAUUACUGGGCGUAAAGCGUGCGCAGGCGGUUUGGUAAGACAGAUGUGAAAUCCCCGGGCUUAACCUGGGAACUGCAUUUGUGACUGCCAGACUAGAGUGUAGCAGAGGGGGGUAGAAUUCCACGUGUAGCAGUGAAAUGCGUAGAUAUGCGGAGGAACACCGAUGGCGAAGGCAAUCCCCUGGACCUGUACUGACGCUCAUGCACGAAAGCGUGGGGAGCAAACAGGAUUAGAUACCCACGUAGUCCCUGAGCGGGCUGGCAAGGCGCAU
RNAcentral lists this ribosomal RNA (472 nucleotides) under uncultured bacterium. RNAcentral describes it as "bacterial SSU rRNA". It matches the Rfam family "Bacterial small subunit ribosomal RNA", at positions 355 to 825 of the family's 1533-position model. The record is from RNAcentral.